RNAcentral lists this ribosomal RNA (425 nucleotides) under uncultured bacterium. Its description in RNAcentral is "bacterial SSU rRNA". It matches the Rfam family "Bacterial small subunit ribosomal RNA", at positions 354 to 796 of the family's 1533-position model. The record is from RNAcentral.
GUGGGGAAUAUUGGACAAUGGGGGCAACCCUGAUCCAGCAAUGCCGCGUGUGUGAAGAAGGUCUUCGGAUCGUAAAGCACUUUCGACGGGGACGAUGAUGACGGUACCCGUAGAAGAAGCCCCGGCUAACUUCGUGCCAGCAGCCGCGGUAAUACGAAGGGGGCUAGCGUUGCUCGGAAUUACUGGGCGUAAAGGGCGCGUAGGCGGCUCUGUUAGUCAGGCGUGAAAUUCCUGGGCUUAACCUGGGGACUGCGCUUGAUACUGCGGUGCUUGAGGCCGAGAGAGGGUGGUGGAAUUCCCAGUGUAGAGGUGAAAUUCGUAGAUAUUGGGAAGCACACCGGUGGCGAAGGCGACCACCUGGCUCGGUACUGACGCUGAGGCGCGACAGCGUGAGGAGCAAACAGGAUUAGAUACCCGAGUAGUCC